AUUGAGCGCUGGCGGCAGGCCUAACACAUGCAAGUCGAGCGGAUGAAGGGAGCUUGCUCCUGGAUUCAGCGGCGGACGGGUGAGUAAUGCCUAGGAAUCUGCCUGGUAGUGGGGGAUAACGUCCGGAAACGGGCGCUAAUACCGCAUACGUCCUGAGGGAGAAAGUGGGGGAUCUUCGGACCUCACGCUAUCAGAUGAGCCUAGGUCGGAUUAGCUAGUUGGUGGGGUAAAGGCCUACCAAGGCGACGAUCCGUAACUGGUCUGAGAGGAUGAUCAGUCACACUGGAACUGAGACACGGUCCAGACUCCUACGGGAGGCAGCAGUGGGGAAUAUUGGACAAUGGGCGAAAGCCUGAUCCAGCCAUGCCGCGUGUGUGAAGAAGGUCUUCGGAUUGUAAAGCACUUUAAGUUGGGAGGAAGAGCAGUAAGUUAAUACCUUGCUGUUUUGACGUUACCAACAGAAUAAGCACCGGCUAACUUCGUG
This 484-nucleotide ribosomal RNA is filed under the name uncultured bacterium. RNAcentral describes it as "partial 16S ribosomal RNA". It matches the Rfam family "Bacterial small subunit ribosomal RNA", at positions 30 to 507 of the family's 1533-position model. The record is from RNAcentral.